Molecule: RNA transcript, 2038 nt
Organism: Pseudopipra pipra
Lineage: Eukaryota; Metazoa; Chordata; Aves; Passeriformes; Pipridae
Gene: KCTD17
Gene name: potassium channel tetramerization domain containing 17
Exons: 8
Source: RefSeq, a predicted model, not a curated record
UGGCUUGUGAAAACGGGAACAGGGGAAAAGCCAGGAAGUGUCAGCGUUGUGGAGUUGUGGUUUUGCCCACCCCUAAUAGCCGCAGUGAUAUCCUCCAUCACCGCGCAUCCUUCCUCCGCUCAGGAUUCCCUUGGUGGUCACAGGGAAGAUCCUGUCCCCCAAGAAACACGGCUGCUGCGGAGGGAGAGGCAGAUAAACUACAGAUCCCAGCAUUCUCCGAUAGGCAGCACCUGCGGCAGUCCCUGCACGCCGUGGGGGAGGUGGGGGUGAGGAUGAGGAUGGAGGGCAGGGAGGAGAUGCAGGGCGCCGUGGGGCUACGCUGCACCUGGGACAUCCCGCCACCCGCUGGCUCCCAGGCCAAGUGGGUGAGGCUUAAUGUGGGGGGCACCGUCUUCCUCACCACCAGGCAGACUCUUUGUCGGGAGCAGAAAUCUUUCCUCUGUCGCUUGUGCCAGGGCGAGGAGCUGCAAUCGGACCGGGAUGAGACUGGUGCAUACCUAAUAGACCGGGACCCCACUUACUUUGGACCCAUCCUGAAUUUCCUCCGUCAUGGGAAGCUGGUCCUGGAUAAAGAUAUGGCUGAAGAGGGGAUCUUAGAAGAAGCUGAGUUCUAUAACAUUGGUCCUUUGAUCCGAAUAAUCAAGGAUCGAAUGGAGGAGAAGGACUACACAGUCACUCAGGUGCCUCCUAAGCAUGUCUACCGUGUGCUACAGUGCCAGGAAGAGGAACUCACUCAGAUGGUUUCCACUAUGUCAGAUGGAUGGCGCUUUGAACAGCUUGUGAACAUUGGCUCGUCCUAUAAUUAUGGGAAUGAGGAUCAGACAGAGUUCUUGUGUGUGGUCUCCAAAGAGUUGUACAACUCCCCCAGUGGCCUAAGCUCUGAGCCCAGCCACAAAGCCAAGAGCACAGAGGAGGACCUGGAGGAGGAAGAGCAGGAGGUGGAGGAGGAGGCAGAGGCAGAGGCAGAAGCAGAAGCAGAGGAGAAAGGUGCAGCAAAUCCUUGAGGAAAAUGAUAAAAAUAUCCCCCCCAGGCAUAGACCCGUCCACCUUUCUGACUGUCCAUCUAUUCGGGAUUGCACUAAACUCUCUUCCUGCGGACCCUCCCUUCUGCUCCCCUCCGUGUCCAUCCCAGCACUGUCAUCUACCUCCUACAUUGCCCCACUCGCCAGCCUCCAGCCUCCAGCAUCCUUCCCUCUGCUCUCUUUGUCUCCCAGGGCUCAGAGUGGUCUCUGCCCAGGGUCCUGUCUCUCUCUGCUCCUCACUUUUCCUCCUCUGCAGGUAUGUUACCUGUCUGCACUCCCAGCUCCUGCCAGCCUGAGCUCUGCAUGAGUGACUCACUUCCCUCUUGUGGCUGUUACAAGCCAGAGAUCUGAGGAUGUGAUCUCAACACUCCAGCCUUUUCAUUUCUUGUUUGUAUCUUUAUUUUUGUACUGCAGUGUAUGGCAGCCCCUUGCCCCACAGUGACGCCCUCCAGCCCCCUUCACUCUUCACAUGCAGUCAUGUUUUUUUUUACAAACUCACCUCAGAGGCCUGAGCCUCCAGCCCUGGAGGAGGGCAGAUGCUCCAUGGAGCCUCUGGGCUGCUGUAGGAGCUGGAGCCCACGGCCCCCUCCUAUGCCUGGCAGUCUGGCUUUCCUUAAUGUCACAGUGGCCCCUGGUGGGGACAUCUGCAAUCAGCCACUGCAGCCUGCGGUCCCUUCCUGAACACCCUGGAUGCAAAUGGGAACCCAAGGUGGUGGCAACUGCAGAAGGACCAGUCCUUGCCCUUUUGCUGUUGCAGGCAGUUGGUCUGGGCUUAUGGCCAGAGGGCAAAUGCAGAGCCACAGUCCUUUUCUGGGCUACCUGCAUUGCUCCUUGGUGCCUCCCUCCCUGUCCCCCAGAGCAGCCCUGUGUCAGCAGGGUGAGGAGGAGACAGGUGUGCUGCCCAGGUACCUGAUGUUGUGUCAGCCAGCACCAGGAGAUCCCUGUUUUGGGGAGCGGGGUGUUUGCUUCACUGCUGUGUCUGAAGACUCCUGAAUAAAAUUCACAGUCUGUUCCUC